Molecule: non-coding RNA, 527 nt
Organism: Camellia sinensis
Lineage: Eukaryota; Viridiplantae; Streptophyta; Magnoliopsida; Ericales; Theaceae
Source: RefSeq, a predicted model, not a curated record
CCAUCAUUCCCAGCCCCCCUUACUUAAUACCUACAAUUCUCUUUGGCUGUGUUUAGAUAAUGAAUUUAGGUAGGAAUUUAGAAAGAGAAAGGAAUUUGUAGUAAUUAAUGAUUAGGUCAAGGUUAAGUAGGUGUAAAAAUUGAGUUUAUUAACUUCUAAGUCACUUUUAAUAUCUAAUCCAACAGUAACUCCAUAAGCCAACCCUAAUCCAUUUUUACCUAAGAGUUAUGAUAUAAGGUAAAUUAUAAAUUUUAUUCAUGGGUAAGAAAAUUUUAACGCUUACAAAGUAGACAAGGAAUAAUUAGUUUAUUCACAAUUUAAUUUAUUAUAUUGGGUGAACUCUAUGAUAGGAUAAAUUAAAAUUAUAAAACUCAAAGGAUGCAAUGCGUUUAUAUUUUAUGGGAAAUGUAUUUUUUGUAAUUUAACCUUUAAUUUGUACUCAUUAAACUAUGACAUGUAUUUCUUAUCAAGAAUUUAUUAGUUGAUGUUCUAAGUUGGCCAAGACACCUGGAUAUCAAAAAAAAAAA